GAUGAACGCUAGCUACAGGCUUAACACAUGCAAGUCGCGGGGCAGCAUGGGGGUUGCUUGCAAUCCCCGAUGGCGACCGGCGCACGGGUGAGUAACGCGUAUCCAACCUGCCCUUCACCACGGGAUAACCCGGCGAAAGUCGGACUAAUACCGUAUGUUGUCCAUUGACGGCAUCCGAUUUGGACGAAAGGUUUGGCGGGGAAGGAUGGGGAGGCGUCCGAUUAGCUGGACGGCGGGGUGACGGCCCACCGUGGCGACGAUCGGUAGGGGUUCUGAGAGGAAGGUCCCCCACACUGGAACUGAGACACGGUCCAGACUCCUACGGGAGGCAGCAGUGAGGAAUAUUGGUCAAUGGGCGUAAGCCUGAACCAGCCAAGUAGCGUGCAGGAUGACGGCCCUAUGGGUUGUAAACUGCUUUUAUGCGGGGAUAAAGUGGCCCACGUGUGGGUUUUUGCAGGUACCGCAUGAAUAAGGACCGGCUAAUUCCGUG
This 490-nucleotide ribosomal RNA is filed under the name uncultured bacterium. RNAcentral's name for it is "partial 16S ribosomal RNA". It matches the Rfam family "Bacterial small subunit ribosomal RNA", at positions 28 to 507 of the family's 1533-position model. The record is from RNAcentral.